RNAcentral lists this ribosomal RNA (257 nucleotides) under uncultured bacterium. RNAcentral describes it as "partial 16S ribosomal RNA". It matches the Rfam family "Bacterial small subunit ribosomal RNA", at positions 524 to 776 of the family's 1533-position model. The record is from RNAcentral.
GACGUAGGGGGGCCAGCGUUGUUCGGAAUUACUGGGUGUAAAGGGCUCGUAGGCGGUGUGGCAAGUCGGGAGUGAAAUCUCUGGGCUCAACUCGAGAGACUGCUUCCGAAACUGCUGUGCUGGAGUGUGGGAGGAGGUGAGUGGAAUUCCUGGUGUAGCGGUGAAAUGCGUAGAUAUCAGGAGGAACACCUGUGGCGAAAAGCGGCUCACUGGACCAUAACUGACGCUGAUGCACGAAAGCUAGGGGAGCAAACAGG